Molecule: ribosomal RNA, 253 nt
Filed under: uncultured bacterium
Lineage: Bacteria
Description: partial 16S ribosomal RNA
Rfam family: Bacterial small subunit ribosomal RNA
Source: RNAcentral
UACGUAGGGUGCAAGCGUUGUCCGGAAUUAUUGGGCGUAAAGGGCUCGCAGGCGGUCCAUCACGUCGGGAGUGAAAAGCUGGGGCUUAACCCCAGUCCUGCUUCCGAUACGGGUGGACUAGAGGUAGGCAGGGGAGAACGGAAUUCCUGGUGUAGCGGUGAAAUGCGCAGAUAUCAGGAGGAACACCGGUGGCGAAGGCGGUUCUCUGGGCCUUACCUGACGCUGAGGCACGAAAGCGUGGGGAGCAAACAGG